This 447-nucleotide ribosomal RNA is filed under the name uncultured bacterium. RNAcentral's name for it is "partial 16S ribosomal RNA". It matches the Rfam family "Bacterial small subunit ribosomal RNA", at positions 29 to 523 of the family's 1533-position model. The record is from RNAcentral.
AACGAACGCUGGCGGCAGGCUUAACACAUGCAAGUCGAACGCCCCGCAAGGGGAGUGGCAGACGGGUGAGUAACGCGUGGGAAUCUACCCAUCUCUACGGAAUAACUCAGGGAAACUUGUGCUAAUACCGUAUACGCCCUACGGGGGAAAGAUUUAUCGGAGAUGGAUGAGCCCGCGUUGGAUUAGCUAGUUGGUGGGGUAAAGGCCUACCAAGGCGACGAUCCAUAGCUGGUCUGAGAGGAUGAUCAGCCACAUUGGGACUGAGACACGGCCCAAACUCCUACGGGAGGCAGCAGUGGGGAAUAUUGGACAAUGGGCGCAAGCCUGAUCCAGCCAUGCCGCGUGAGUGAUGAAGGUCUUAGGAUUGUAAAGCUCUUUCACCGGUGAAGAUAAUGACGGUAACCGGAGAAGAAGCCCCGGCUAACUUCGUGCCAGCCGCCGCGGUAA